AGUGAACGCUGGCGGUAGGCCUAACACAUGCAAGUCGAACGGCAGCACAGUAAGAGCUUGCUCUUACGGGUGGCGAGUGGCGGACGGGUGAGGAAUACAUCGGAAUCUACUUUUUCGUGGGGGAUAACGUAGGGAAACUUACGCUAAUACCGCAUACGACCUACGGGUGAAAGCAGGGGAUCUUCGGACCUUGCGCGAUUGAAUGAGCCGAUGUCGGAUUAGCUAGUUGGCGGGGUAAAGGCCCACCAAGGCGACGAUCCGUAGCUGGUCUGAGAGGAUGACCGCCCACACUGGAACGGAGACACGGCCCAGACUCCUACGGGAGGAAGCAGGGGGGAUUAUUGGACAAGGGGCGCAAGCCUGAUCCACCCAUCCCGCGUGGGGGAAGAAGGCUUUCGGGUCGUAAACCCUUUUUUUGGGGAAAAAAAAAAAGCAGUUUAAUCCCCCGCUGUUCUGACGUUACCCAAAAAAAAAGCCCCGGCUAACUUCGUC
This 492-nucleotide ribosomal RNA is filed under the name uncultured bacterium. Its description in RNAcentral is "partial 16S ribosomal RNA". It matches the Rfam family "Bacterial small subunit ribosomal RNA", at positions 29 to 507 of the family's 1533-position model. The record is from RNAcentral.